CUCUAUCUCUCUUUAUGCUAACGCUUGGUCUCCCUUCUCUCUAGAACCUUAUGGUCCUUUCUCUUAUCUCUGAUGAAGCCACCACCUCUAUGGCAACCUCCAUUCUCACUUAUCUUGACCACCAGUUGCCGUGAAACUUUACCUAGUUGGUUCCAUCUAUCUUUGGGGUCCCAGGAUCCUCCACCAUGCGAGAUGGUCAGUGAAGAUUGGUCUGAUUUGUCUUUGACUCUUUGUCCGAUGGGUUAUGGUUCGAUGAUGCUACGAGCAUCAUUAUUAAUGCGUUUCACAACCAGGUUCCUUGCUUCUCACUGGUUUCUCACGAAACCCUACUCUCUACCCAAACUCUCUAAUCUUUGUAUUUUUUAACGAUUUUAACUUAUUCUUUGUGUAUUACACUAAUCUCUACUCGAUUUAUUCAAUUGUUCAAGCUUUCAACGUUUUGUUCUUCUUUUCAAAACUAGGAUUUCUGAACCCCUUUCGAAAUCGCUAUUUCUUAUUUUUAUGAGUAUUAUGUGUUUAUGUUUGUGUGAUCUUCUGGUUACUCUCCGAGUUCUAUGCUUUAGGGUUCCAACCUUCUACUGAUUCUGUGAUUGCUUGCAUAGGGUUCUUUGAUUUUCAUGCCUAUUGUCUUUCAUAGGUCUAAUUGUUCAUCAUUUACCAGAAUAUUCUGCUGAUUUUGUGCAUCUCUUCGAAUCCCUGAUUUGUAUAUGUUUUUCGUAGAAGUUUUACACUGAUUUUUUUGAAACACUUCCUUAUUGGUGAAAUGCUCUCCUUACUUAGUAUUGAUUCCCUGUGAUUUUCAAUUUCAUGCGUGUUUCUUUGAACUAAUUUCUGUGCACAAUAUGCUAUCAUUGUACUUUCCUCACUUGAAACGUUCUGUAUAUGACCUUUAUUAUAUGCCACACGAAGUUACUGCUCCAAUUGGGUUAAAGUC
Molecule: long non-coding RNA, 934 nt
Filed under: Nicotiana benthamiana
Lineage: Eukaryota; Viridiplantae; Streptophyta; Magnoliopsida; Solanales; Solanaceae
Description: long non-coding RNA (NBEN_LNC034472)
Source: RNAcentral